GAUGAACGCUAGCUACAGGCUUAACACAUACAAGUCGAGGGGUAACGAGAGGAAAGCUUGCUUUCCUUGUCGACGACCGGCGCACGGGUGAGUAACGCGUAUCCAACCUGCCCCCAACUAGGGAAUAACCUUGCGAAAGUAAGACUAAUACCCUAUAAUUUCCUCAGAUGUCAUCUGACGAGGAAUAAAGGUUUAUCGGUUGUGGAUGGGGAUGCGUCUGAUUAGCUUGUUGGCGGGGUAACGGCCCACCAAGGCAACGAUCAGUAGGGGUUCUGAGAGGAAGGUCCCCCACAUUGGAACUGAGACACGGUCCAAACUCCUACGGGAGGCAGCAGUGAGGAAUAUUGGUCAAUGGGCGGAAGCCUGAACCAGCCAAGUAGCGUGCAGGAUGACGGCCCUAUGGGUUGUAGACUGCUUUUAUACAGGAAUAAAGUUAGCCACGUGUGGUUAUUUGUAGGUACUGUAUGAAUAAGGACCGGCUAAUUCCGUGCCAGCAGCCGCCGUAA
RNAcentral lists this ribosomal RNA (506 nucleotides) under uncultured bacterium. RNAcentral describes it as "partial 16S ribosomal RNA". It matches the Rfam family "Bacterial small subunit ribosomal RNA", at positions 28 to 523 of the family's 1533-position model. The record is from RNAcentral.